RNAcentral lists this ribosomal RNA (485 nucleotides) under uncultured Desulfobulbus sp. Its description in RNAcentral is "bacterial SSU rRNA". It matches the Rfam family "Bacterial small subunit ribosomal RNA", at positions 904 to 1382 of the family's 1533-position model. Lineage: Bacteria; Pseudomonadati; Thermodesulfobacteriota; Desulfobulbia; Desulfobulbales; Desulfobulbaceae. The record is from RNAcentral.
CUCAAGGAAUUGACGGGGCCGCACAAGCGGUGGAGUAUGUGGUUUAAUUCGAUGCAACGCGAAGAACCUUACCUGGUCUUGACAUCCCGGAGACCCUUAGGAAACUAGGGGGUGCUUCCAUCUGGAAGAAUCUGGAGACAGGUGCUGCAUGGCUGUCGUCAGCUCGUGUCGUGAGAUGUUGGGUUAAGUCCCGCAACGAGCGCAACCCUUGCCUUUAGUUGCCAGCAGUUCGGCUGGGCACUCUAAAGGGACUGCCGGUGUUAAACCGGAGGAAGGUGGGGAUGACGUCAAGUCCUCAUGGCCUUUAUGACCAGGGCUACACACGUACUACAAUGGCCGAUACAAAGGGCAGCGACACUGCGAGGUGAAGCCAAUCCCGUAAAAUCGGUCUCAGUCCGGAUUGGAGUCUGCAACUCGACUCCAUGAAGUUGGAAUCGCUAGUAAUCGUGGAUCAGCAUGCCACGGUGAAUACGUUCCCGGGCCUU